UAACAGCUCAAAUUUGAAAUCUGGCUCCUGCGGAGUCCGAGUUGUAAUUUGUAGAAGAUGCUUUGGGAGGGAGGCUCGGCCUAAGUUCCUUGGAACAGGACAUCAGAGAGGGUGAGAAUCCCGUAUGUGGCCGUGGCCUCCGCCCGUGUAAAGCUCUUUCGACGAGUCGAGUUGUUUGGGAAUGCAGCUCAAAAUGGGUGGUAAAUUUCAUCUAAAGCUAAAUAUUGGCCAGAGACCGAUAGCGCACAAGUAGAGUGAUCGAAAGAUGAAAAGCACUUUGGAAAGAGAGUUAAACAGUACGUGAAAUUGUUGAAAGGGAAGCGCUUGCACCCAGACUUGGGCGUCGUCGAUCAUCCGAGGUUCUCCUCGGUGCACUCGGCGAGGCACAGGCCAGCAUCGGUUUGGAUGGUUGGAGAAAGGCUCUAGGAACGUAGCUCUCUUCGGGGAGUGUUAUAGCCUAGGGCGUAAUGCAGCCCAUCUGGACCGAGGACCGCGCCUUCGGGCUAGGAUGCUGGCGUAAUGGUUGCAAGCGACCCGUCUUGAAACACGGACCAAGGAGUCUAACAUCUAUGCGAGUGUUUGGGCGUUAAACCCAUACGCGGAAUGAAAGUGAACGUAGGUGAGAACCCGUCAGGUGCAUCAUCGACCGAUCCUGAUGUCUU
RNAcentral lists this ribosomal RNA (662 nucleotides) under Golovinomyces cichoracearum. RNAcentral's name for it is "eukaryotic LSU rRNA". It matches the Rfam family "Eukaryotic large subunit ribosomal RNA", at positions 102 to 780 of the family's 3401-position model. RNAcentral also lists the same sequence under 1 other name. The record is from RNAcentral. Lineage: Eukaryota; Fungi; Ascomycota; Leotiomycetes; Helotiales; Erysiphaceae.